Molecule: non-coding RNA, 163 nt
Organism: Enterobius vermicularis (human pinworm)
Lineage: Eukaryota; Metazoa; Nematoda; Chromadorea; Rhabditida; Oxyuridae
Source: Rfam
AAACUUACCUGGCUGGGAAGUAUCCCGUGAUCACUAAGGCGGGACUUUCAUGGUGAGGCUUAGCCAUUGCACUUUUGGUUCGGCUGACCUGUGCGGCAUUCCCGAGUUGGGAUUGGCCGACAGCAUAAUUUUUGUGUUUGGGGGAGCGUUCGCGCUUCCCUGC